RNAcentral lists this long non-coding RNA (2989 nucleotides) under Capra hircus (goat). RNAcentral's name for it is "lncRNA (ENSCHIG00000000700.1)". The record is from RNAcentral. Lineage: Eukaryota; Metazoa; Chordata; Mammalia; Artiodactyla; Bovidae.
GAGAUUCAUGCAGACUUUCCAUUUCUGACCCAGGCUUACCAACAUUGAUCCCUUAGUACUUUUUCAGGCAGUGUUACCAGUCCAUACUGUUUUCUUACCCUAUUUUUCCUUUAUGCCUUUCUCAGUUUUCCUACAUCCACUGAAUUUAUCUCCACUCAUAAGACUUCCCUUGUGGCUCAGCUAAAAAAGAACCCACCUACCAAUUCAGGAGAUGUAAGAGAUUCAGGUUAGAUCCCUGGGUCAGGAAGAUCCCCAGGAGAAGGAAAUGGCAAUCGACUCCAGUAUUCUUGCCUGGGAAAUUCCAUGAACAGAGGAGCCUGACAGGCUUUAGUCCAUGGGAUUGCAAAGAGUCUGAGACAACUGAGCGUGUGCACGCGCGUGCACCCAUCCACACAUAAACUCAGUGUCUCCAAGAAGCUCUUUGUGAACUCUUAUCCUCUUUGUGCCUGAUUAGAUGGUCUUGUUAUCAGGAUUUAAAAAGAAAAUCAUCCUUUAUUCCAUGCUCCAUUGUAAUGAACAGUUUAUGUGUGUCUGUCAUUCUAGGUUGUGAAUCCUCUGAAAAUAGAGCUCACACACAAAAUGUGUCUAUUGAAUGGAAUGGACGAUGAGUGAAAGUGGAUAAUUGCUGGUAAUGUAGAGAAUGGACUGGAGAGGAAGACAGCCUGAGGAAAUGGCGCCUGGUGAAGUUUGCAGAUUUCCAGCCACUGUGAGGAUGGUAAACGACAUUCAACUCAUGCUGAGUGGCUGCCUGGAGUCUUGUGCUGAGGGUUGUGAAGCAGGUUCCAGGGAGUGCAAUGAACUCUGAACACUGGCUUUCACUGGUGCGCACGGGCCCUUCAUAAUUGAUGUUCCUCUGCUGGAUGGCAUCACGGACUCGAUGGACAUGAGUCUGAGUGAACUCCCGGAGAUGGUGAUGGACAGGGAGGCCUGGCGUGCUGCGAUUCAUGGGGUCGCAAAGAGUCGGACACGACUGAGCGACUGAACUGAACUGCUUCUCUGAAUUUGAUUUUCCUCUUCAAAGGGACUAUAAGGUUUGCUUGUGAGAUUCUUACUUAGUAUAUUCUUACUAUUGCUUUUAUAUAUUUGGAAAAUACCAGUUAAAAUAAACAGGCUGAAGAUAUGAUAGAUUUCCAGUAAGACAGAGGAAAAAAUAAUUGCAAUUUAAGAGUAGCCUAUUGAAGAAAAUAUUUAUAUAGAUAUAUCCAGAGAGAUUGAUUACAUUUUAAUUGAUUAUCCUCAUUUAAAAAAUGGAGAUUAAAAUACCAGUCUUGGAAGGUUAUUCAGAGAAUUAAAUGUCUAAACAAUGUAGGCAAUGUUUAGUUCCUGGAAGGUAGAAAGCAUUCAUUAAUUAUUAGUGAUCAUGAUAAUUAGAGAGUGAUGAUGAUGAUGAUGUAAAGAAGUACCAGGAGAGUUCUGAAAUAAGAGAAGGAUGAUUUGACGUGAUACAUUUAGGGCUUUGUUAAAGUUUUCCUGAAUAAACAGUGUCAUGUUCUGGUAUCCCUGCAUAGAAUGGAUGUCCACGACAAACAUCCUGCCCCUAGAUAAUACAUAUUUUAACAUCUAAUUAUUUAGAUGUACUACAUAAUUAGAAAGCAGGAAAAAUAGAUCCAUAAGUGUGUAAAAAAUAUAAGGGAAAUUAUCCAUCUGAGAUGCAGCGCGUAUAACACACAUACAGUUGAAGCAGCGCAAAGUAUGAUGUAAAUCAUUUUACUAAGUCAGAUUAAAGGUGCUAUUACUCAUGGUUAUGUAAUACUAUCUGUAAUUUCUGUGUUAAACUUGACAUUAUAAAUCCUUUAAUCUGCGUAUUUAAAAGCUGUUCUAUGGCUCAUUUUUCAAACUGAUUCCCGUUAACACAUUUACUGCUAAUGAACCACUAACGUGUUCUCUCUUUCUUAGAUAAACGCUGUUGACCAACAUUAUUAUUUGCUCCUCAUAUAAUUAUUUUUUUGGCUUUUUAAUUUAAUUGCUUCAAUAAAAAAUACACCAAUAAUGCAUUUUUAAUUACACUUCCCAGGUGACCUAUGUAAAAAGAGGUUUUAUAAUGAAGCCACAAUAAUUAGCCUGUCACAGUCCAGUUUGGGGCUAUUGUCUAGUUGUCCUUUCCAUGGCUUGUUGUGGCAUGACUAGAAUUCUAAAGACCUUGUAUAUUAUCUCCCAUAAUACUUAGGAAGGUAUUAAAAAUGUGUGCAAUACUGGCAGAAGCAGGCUUUCUAAUUAUUGUCAGCUAUUUCUAGUGUGACGUGGUAAAUUCCCUUGAGAACAUCAACAACAGCCCACUCCAGGGUUUGUAAUAGGCCCUAGAGCCUAAGUAGUUGUAGACAGAGCAGUUUCCCUCCGGAGAGAUAAUUGGUUUACAGAGCAGCUCAACAUCUGAACCAAAUCCAUUUUUUUUUCCUAUUGUAAUUUCACUGUUUACUCUAAUAUACAUAAACUAUUUUGUUAUAAUAAAUAACAUAUGACUCAUUCUUUAAGAGCUGAGUAAAUUCCCAUGUUCUGCCUCACCUGGAAUACUAAUGACAAUUAUGUCUGCCCAUUUCUCAUGCAUGAAAUAUUAAAUAUUUGGUUUGUUAAACACACAUUCUUACUGUAAAUAAUGUGUUCUGGCAACUUAUUAAAUAUGAUUAUCCUUUAGUUUUUUGGGUUUUUUUUAAUGGAUGAAAUCUGCCUUUAACGUAAGGAGAAAUGCAGACUAUUUCCCAGAAAUGUAAAGGAUUGUUGUCCUUAUUAGCACAGAGCAAUCGAUUACUGAGAAAUAUUUGUUAAUGUUUGUAUUCUACUAUUAACAGUAAUAUAGUGAUACUUCAUUUUGCAAACAGAGUAUAUCAGAUUCUCCCAGGUAUGCAGAUACCUUGCUUCAUAGCAAUAAAUAAACGUAUUUUAGCACACUGAAGUUUCAGCUAGACUUGGUGUUAAUGUCUCUGGUCUUUAACAGAUACACUGUUGUUGCUGUGUAUUAUAAGCAAAUCCUAUUAUAAAUGCUUUUCCUUUU